CCCUUAGAUGUUCUGGGCCGCACGCGCGCUACACUGAUGAAUGCGACGAGCUCUACCCUUGACCGAAAGGCCCGGGUAAACUUGUGAAACUUCAUCGUGAUGGGGAUAGAUUAUUGCAAUUAUUAAUCUUCAACGAGGAAUUCCUAGUAAGCGCGAGUCAUCAGCUCGCGUUGAUUACGUCCCUGCCCUUUGUACACACCGCCCGUCGCUCCUACCGAUUGAAUGGUCCGGUGAAAUCUUCGGAUUGCUGACCAAGAUCCAGCAAUGGAGCUUGGUUGCGAGAAGUUGAUUAAACCUUAUUAUUUAGAGGAAGGAGAAGUCGUAACA
Molecule: ribosomal RNA, 327 nt
Filed under: uncultured eukaryote
Lineage: Eukaryota
Description: partial 18S ribosomal RNA
Rfam family: Eukaryotic small subunit ribosomal RNA
Source: RNAcentral